This 440-nucleotide ribosomal RNA is filed under the name uncultured bacterium. RNAcentral's name for it is "partial 16S ribosomal RNA". It matches the Rfam family "Bacterial small subunit ribosomal RNA", at positions 338 to 795 of the family's 1533-position model. The record is from RNAcentral.
CCUACGGGUGGCAGCAGUAGGGAAUAUUGCUCAAUGGGGGAAACCCUGAAGCAGCAACGCCGCGUGAAUGAUGAAGGUUUUCGGUUUGUAAACUCCUUUUGUUAGAGAAGAUAAUGACGGUAUCUAACGAAUAAGCACCGGCUAACUACGUGCCAGCAGCCGCGGUAAUACGGAGGGUGCAAGCGUUACUCGGAAUCACUGGGCGUAAAGAGCGCGUAGGCGGGAUAGCAAGUCAGAUGUGAAAGCCUAGGGCUUAACCACAGAACUGCUUUUGAAACUGUGAUUCUAGAGUAUGGGAGAGGUAGGUGGAAUUCUUGGUGUAGGGGUGAAAUGCGUAGAGAUCAGGAGGAAUACUCAUUGCGAAGGCGGCCUGCUGGACCAUAACUGACGCUGAUGCGCGAAAGCGUGGGGAGCAAACAGGAUUAGAUACCCGUGUAGUC